UACGGAGGGUGCAAGCGUUGUCCGGAAUCACUGGGCGUAAAGAGCUCGUAGGCGGCUUGUCGCGUCGACUGUGAAAACCCACGGCUCAACUGUGGGCUUGCAGUCGAUACGGGCAGGCUAGAGUUCGGUAGGGGAGACUGGAAUUCCUGGUGUAGCGGUGAAAUGCGCAGAUAUCAGGAGGAACACCGAUGGCGAAGGCAGGUCUCUGGGCCACUACUGACGCUGAGAAGCGAAAGCAUGGGGAGCGAACAGG
Molecule: ribosomal RNA, 253 nt
Filed under: uncultured bacterium
Lineage: Bacteria
Description: partial 16S ribosomal RNA
Rfam family: Bacterial small subunit ribosomal RNA
Source: RNAcentral